This 167-nucleotide unclassified non-coding RNA is filed under the name uncultured Valsaceae. RNAcentral describes it as "sequence contains ITS2". Lineage: Eukaryota; Fungi; Ascomycota; Sordariomycetes; Diaporthales; Cytosporaceae. The record is from RNAcentral.
CAACCCUCAAGCUCUGCUUGGUGUUGGGGCAUUACCCUCCUGUUUCUACAGGAGGGUAAGCCCUGAAAUUUAGUGGCGAGCUCGCCAGGACUCCGAGCGCAGUAGUGUAAACCUCGCUUUGGACUGUACUGGCGCGGCCUAGCCGUAAAACCCCCCAAUUUCUGAAA